RNAcentral lists this ribosomal RNA (811 nucleotides) under uncultured archaeon. Its description in RNAcentral is "bacterial SSU rRNA". It matches the Rfam family "Archaeal small subunit ribosomal RNA", at positions 85 to 879 of the family's 1478-position model. The record is from RNAcentral.
ACUGCUCAGUAACACGUGGCUAACCUACCCUUAGGACGGGGACAACCCCGGGAAACUGGGGCUAAUACCCGAUAGGUGAGGAGGCCUGGAAUGGUUCCUAGUCGAAAAGGCGUUGAAACCAUGCUUUUCGACGUCGCCUAGGGAUGGGGCCGCGCCCGAUCAGGUUGUUGGUGGGGUAACGGCUCACCAAGCCUAUAACCGGUACGGGCCGUGAGAGCGGGAGCCCGGAGAUGGGCACUGAGACAAGGGCCCAGGCCCUACGGGGCGCAGCAGUCGCGAAAACUCCGCAAUGCGCGAAAGCGUGACGGGGCUACCCCGAGUGCCGUCCGCUGAGGAUGGCUUUUCCCCGGUGUAAUGAGCCGGAGGAAUAAGGAGAGGGCAAGUCUGGUGUCAGCCGCCGCGGUAAUACCAGCUCUCCGAGUGGUAGGGAUGAUUAUUGGGCUUAAAGCGUCCGUAGCCGGCUUAGCAAGUUUCCUGUUAAAUUCAGCGACCUAAUCGUUGAGCCGCGGGAAAUACUACUAGGCUAGGAGGCGGGAGAGGUCGACGGUACUUCUGGGGUAGGGGUGAAAUCCUAUAAUCCCGGGAGGACCACCAGUGGCGAAGGCUGUCGACUAGAACGCGCUCGACGGUGAGGGACGAAAGCUGGGGGAGCGAACCGGAUUAGAUACCCGGGUAGUCCCAGCUGUAAACGAUGCGGGCUAGGUGUUGGGGUGGCUACGUGCCACUUCAGUGCCGCAGGGAAGCCAUUAAGCCCGCCGCCUGGGGAGUACGGCCGCAAGGCUGAAACUUAAAGGAAUUGGCGGGGGAGCAC